RNAcentral lists this ribosomal RNA (460 nucleotides) under uncultured bacterium. RNAcentral describes it as "partial 16S ribosomal RNA". It matches the Rfam family "Bacterial small subunit ribosomal RNA", at positions 338 to 795 of the family's 1533-position model. The record is from RNAcentral.
CCUACGGGAGGCAGCAGUGAGGAAUAUUCGUCAAUGGACGAGAGUCUGAACCAGCCAAGUAGCGUGAAGGAUGACUGCCCUAUGGGCGGUAAACUUCUUUUAUAAAGGAAUAAAACGAGGCACGUGUGCCUUUUUGCAUUUACUUUAUGAAUAAGGAUCGGCUAACUCCGUUCCAGCAGCCGCGGUACUACGGAGGAUCCGAGCGUUAUCCGGAUUUCUUGGGUUUAAAGGGAGCGUAGAUGGGUUGUUAAGUCAGUUGUGAAAGUUUGCGGCUCAACCGUAAAAUUGCAAUUGAUACUGGCAGUCUUGAGUACAGUUGAGGUAGGCGGAAUUCGAGGUGUAGCGGUGAAAUGCUUAGAUAUCACGAAGAACACCGAUUGCGAAGGCAGCUUACUAAACUGUGACUGACAUUGAUGCUCGAAAGUGUGGGUAUCAAACAGGAUUAGAUAUCCCGGUAGUC